AUUAUGGUAACCACUAGCCACUUGUGACUACUGAGUAUCUGAAAGGUUCUGCUUGAAUUCUUGCCCUGGCUCUUGGUGAAGGGUCGGCCUGCUGGAUCUGAGUCAUCCACCUAUAAGAGGGACACCACCAAACAUUGGUCACUGCUCUCAAGCCCCUGGAACACCACCCCACUUGGCUUCUCCUGAGAUGGGCUCUCACUACAGCGCUGUUCUGGAACUCCUGGGCUCAAGCUAUCCUCCCACUUUGGCCUCCCCAAAAUGCUGGGAUUACAGGCGUGAACCACCACAUCUAACCUAAAAUUAUAUUGUUAAAAGACUUUGUUUCUCAGUUUGGGAUAAUCAGAACUCAUAGUUCUGAUCUCAGCUACCAAUUUUAAUGAGGUGCUUCUUUCUAAUUCCAUCAGCUGUCUGGCCGUCUGCAGAUAUCACCCACAUAAACAAAAACUUUUUGGGAGUCCUCCAGAAUUUUUAAGAGUUAUCUAAACUAUUGCCUUUAAUGACCAGGAACUCCAAUUUGAGAAGUGUUACCCUACGUUAAGCCAACAGCAGCCUGGCUCCUUCAUGCUGUGCAGUAUGG
RNAcentral lists this long non-coding RNA (577 nucleotides) under Pongo abelii (Sumatran orangutan). RNAcentral's name for it is "lincRNA". Lineage: Eukaryota; Metazoa; Chordata; Mammalia; Primates; Hominidae. The record is from RNAcentral.